This is a long non-coding RNA of Rhinolophus ferrumequinum (greater horseshoe bat), 686 nucleotides long. RefSeq lists it as uncharacterized. Lineage: Eukaryota; Metazoa; Chordata; Mammalia; Chiroptera; Rhinolophidae. The transcript has 4 exons. The record is from RefSeq and is a predicted model, not a curated record.
GCGACGCUCCCGCCCCACCGGGCCCUGCUCCCAGCCCCCGGGCCGCCGCUUCCCCGGAGGGCGGGCGGGCGCGGGGCGCGCGUGUGCCCGCGCAGUGGGAGGCCGGUGGGUGGGCGAGUGUCCCUAGGGACGCGCGACAGUCCCCACCUGGAGACGAAGGCGCGGCUGCAUGUGUGGGGGCAGCUCGCGGGCGGCGCAGCCUCCCGGAAAUUCUUCAGCCUGGAGCUGUGUACCCAACAGGCAGACGGCUCAGUCUGUGUAUAUUGUGUAAGUGUCUGGAAUGUACACCUGGUACCUCUCCACUGGUAUCCACAGUUUCAGAAAGUAAACAGAAGCUUUCAAGGAGGAAUAUGCUAUUAGAGACUGCCAAUCUCGAAAACUUUGUAACAGAAUAGCUGCCCAGAUGAAUGGUAAUGCUACUGGCUACAAUGAAAGAAAUGGAGGAAAAAGUGAACGACAGAGCUCGGGAAGACAGGUUCAAUUAGGAGAAGAUGAUCCAGAAAUACAUGCCAGAGGAAGUGUUCAGUAGGCCGUUGGGUAGUGCAGCUCAAGAACUAAAUAUUAGUCAGUGCUAAGUAUAGGCACACGUCUGCAAUAGUGUGGUUGGGUUCCAGACCGCCGCAAUCAAGCGGGAAUCACAGCAAAGCCUCUCGUAAUCUUUUUGCUGGUGGAGGGUCUUGCCUUCA